UACAGAGGGCGCGAGCGUUGUCCGGAAUCACUGGGCGUAAAGGGCGCGUAGGUGGCCACCAUAAGGCCGCGGUGAAAGUCUGGGGCUCAACCCCGGAUCGGCCGCGGCGACUGUGGGGCUUGGGCACUGUAGAGGCAGAUGGAAUUCCGGGUGUAGCGGUGGAAUGCGUAGAGAUCCGGAAGAACACCAGUGGCGAAGGCGGUCUGCUGGGCAGUGGGAGCCGCAAGGUUCCUUUUAGCCGACACUGAGGCGCGACAGCGUGGGGGAGCAAACAGG
This 276-nucleotide ribosomal RNA is filed under the name uncultured bacterium. Its description in RNAcentral is "partial 16S ribosomal RNA". It matches the Rfam family "Bacterial small subunit ribosomal RNA", at positions 524 to 776 of the family's 1533-position model. The record is from RNAcentral.